Caenorhabditis elegans is the source of this 140-nucleotide non-coding RNA. NCBI's taxonomy places the organism in Eukaryota, Metazoa, Nematoda, Chromadorea, Rhabditida, Rhabditidae. The record is from Ensembl.
CGACGUUUUUGAAGAAAGAAGAAGAAACGGAUUAACAAAGAGGAAACCGAUGUGAGUUGCAAAGUGGCGGAGGAUGAAUUGCAACAUGUUACUGCAUACUGAGAUACUAGAUAAUGUAGAAAUGAUAGAGUGUGAAGGAG